GAGAGCAUUUCUGUGCAGUUUCUCCAUCAUAUUCCUUUUCCUGCCAGCAGUUUUCUAUUGCUUUUCAGCAGCCUACGGAUUGUGGCGUGUAGAGUAAUUUUGAUAUUUCGAGCUUGUCAUGUCUGGAGUGCGGGCCGAAUCAAGUCAGCAUCAAAUCAGGAUUGGCAUGUCCUCCUCUGAUCUCCGGCAUGCCUUGCCAGCCAAGUGCACAGUUGUCAUUCUCUCUUGAGUAUACGAUGGACCUGGAAGAAGCUCAGGUCAAAAGUGAUGUGAGUAUAAGUGGCACUGGAAAUGGCAAUGGCUAUUAAUGGCUAAUAGUCUAUUAUGAAUAUGAUUAAGCCUUACAUAACCUCCCCCCCACCCCCGUUUUUGUUUAUUUUUUGUUAUAUCUUUAAUUCCAAGUCUGGAUCUUUUUCUAUUGUUAACAGUCUCACCCACUUCUCAGAUAUCUGUUUAUUAUCCGUGUUUUCUUCCAUUGUCCUGUUAAAUGAGAUAUUUUGCUAGGAUGUGCAGUCUAUAAGUACUCUUUAUUUUUUCAUGGAGCUUCAGGUCUGUUCACAUCAAGACAAGUACUGUGCAACUUUGCGUUUCUGAUACCCACUUUUCACAGAUAAGAAAAGAAAUCACACAUAUUUCUGUGUUAUAAAACAGCCAUUCAUAUUUUUGUAUUCACUAUUAUCGCUUUGCAAUAUACACCAAGUCAUAGUUUUAAUGGCAUUGUUUGGUCAUGGUUUGCUAGUGUGAACACGAGUUAAAAUAGAAAUAAAAACCUAUAAAAACAAGGCUCUCUGUGUAUCUCCAGCAGGCUAAGCUAUUUGUGUCUCUGUUGCUGCCAUUAGCAGCUCAGUAGGAGUGCUUUGUUGCUUAUGUUGGCUGUGCCUUUGUUUUGAAGGUAAGUACAGAUAUUAACAUUACAUUUUACACUUCAGGUUGCUUAAUUAAGUAUAUGUCUGUCUUUUCCCUUUUUCCUUUUCCUUGCAGGUUAACUUAACUUUAUUUUUUGUUACAGACUGUACAUAAGCUCCAUGUUCAACUGUCUGUGGAUAUUUUCUUUAUAGACUGGGAAAGACCUUGUAGUAAAACCAGUAAACAUGUGAAAUGCCUGUUACAUUAAAUCUAUACAAACUCUUCACUUUUAAUUAGAAUAUUUUAAUAUUUCUUUUAAAUAAUACAUAUUCUAUAAUUAUGCUGUAAUGUGCUCAGGGUCUGGUGAAGCACUGUCAGUAUCUGGAGAACAUAUUUUGUGGCCUCCAAAUCUGAUUGAUCUCCCAAAGGAUACAUCCACCGAAGACAUAGAAUUUAUCAUGAGUUCUGAUCUAAGCAAUAAUGUUAAGGAAGUGAGGACAGCUAAGGCUAGAUGUGAAGGAAAUUAUGCAUGUGCAUUGGCCUUGUUACAAAGAGGAGUUUUGAAGGAAGAGAUAGAUGGAGAAUGUUGGAUUUGUAUGCAACUCCACUCAGCGUGGAGAAAACACCCUGUAACAUCAGAUAUGGUAUGUCUUGAGAGAAACAGAUGUGAUGUACCACGCCAGAUGUCUAUAAUUCUACAGAUGACAAAUAAUCUAAAAACAAACAGAGCAUUGUUGUUUUCGCUCCAAGAGUAUAAUUGUUCCUAUAAAGGACUACCUUUUACAGGACCAGCCUUUCAUGUACUGUCACAUCUCGCAGAUUUGUGUAUUUGUUCAACCAAAGGAAAACAUUAUGUAGGAAUGUCAGAUUGUAAGACAGCAAUAACUCUGAUUCAAAAUGCUGGAAAUCGGCCUAAUUGUACUAUUAAGUAUGAUAACCAAUCUGUUGAGAAUUUUCACUGUCCGUUUUCUUAUCUUGAUAGCUCCCCAGGUAUGAUUUGGACCUGUGGGGGAAUGGCUUAUUACCAUUUGGAUGAAGGAGAAUGGCGUGGAUGUUGUUAUCCAGCUACACUCUCCACAGGAACUACCGUAUUGACACGUAAAGACCUUGAUACCUGUGAUAGUCAGGCACCAUCACACAGACAGAAAAGAGAGGUCGAUACAAUGGAUACAAAACAGCUACGCCCUGGACAACCCCAUGGGAAAAUGUGGGAUGGUCCAUAGCUAGUUUCUUUCCAGGGGUAGGAACCUCCAUUGCUUUAAACAAAAUAAAUGGUUUAGCUUCGCAAGUCUUGUCAUUGGAAAAUGAUACUACUCAUGCAUUAAGUUUAAUAACAGAGGAAAUGAAAAAGAUGAGAGAAGCAGUAGUUCAAAACAGACUUGUUCUCGACUUUUGACAUCGCAGCAGGGAGGAGUUUGUAAAAUGUUGGGAGUAUCUUGUUGUUUUUACAUUCCAGAUAACUCUGACAACGUUUCCAAUAUUGUGGACCAGAUGAGAGAAUCCAUUCCAGAGCCAAAGAAAGAUGAUUCCUGGCUGAACUGGCUCAGCGGCCUAUGGGGAGGAUGGGGAACUUGGAUUCUACACACUGUUGUACCUGUUGUUAUAUUCAUAGUGAUUCUUCUGCUAAUAGCACCCAGUGUGAUGCAAUGUAUUAGUACUUCUAUAAUGCGUUCUGUUACAGCGCUCACUACGGGAAAUACCUAUCAAGCAAUGCUGCACGUAUCCAAUCCAGUAGCAACCUUUGUUAGGGUUCCAGAGCAGUUGGAGAUGAAUGUGAUUGAAGCUGAGGAUGUGUACGAAAGUAUAAUCAAGAAACAUAAGAUAUGCCCAAGAUUCUUCACGGUUGUGUAAGACAUGUCUUCGACUGUCUUAAAGUGGCCAUUGUGAGAUUCUGCUCGUGUACGUGAACAUCUUGUGAUAAAGGACAUUGUGUGAUGAAAGUAUGAUGUAUUCCUUUUGAACCUUACUCUAUAUUCAUGGUAUUGCUCAAUGCAGUGUGUUAUGCUUGAUCAUCCAAAUAUCUGCCAGACAUUCCAUUGCUUCAUUUCCCUAUAAAAGUAACACCCCUUGUACAAUAAAGUUGAGCUUAGAAUGACCUGCACCACUUGUGUGACUCAUUCUUUGUUCCCGGGUACCUGCUCUUCUCUGCUCAGAUAACCCAACCUGAACCAAAAUAAUAUAGGUGAUCUCGAAGGCAAAAAUAUACAAUUUAUUCUUACAAUGGCCAAUGAGUUGAAUGAGAUUCAGACUAUUCGCGAGAUCAACCCCACUUUUCAGGUCGUCGUUGG
Molecule: long non-coding RNA, 3134 nt
Organism: Carassius auratus (goldfish)
Lineage: Eukaryota; Metazoa; Chordata; Actinopteri; Cypriniformes; Cyprinidae
Exons: 3
Source: RefSeq, a predicted model, not a curated record